Molecule: long non-coding RNA, 665 nt
Organism: Tachyglossus aculeatus (Australian echidna)
Lineage: Eukaryota; Metazoa; Chordata; Mammalia; Monotremata; Tachyglossidae
Exons: 2
Source: RefSeq, a predicted model, not a curated record
CGUGGAGAGGCGUGCAGCACAUCAUUGUCUUCACGGCCACCCGGGGGUGGUGUUUUUACUCCAGGAGCUGCUUUUUCCAAAAACAAACUGCUGGACAGACUCAACAAACAUAGCAUUGAAUUUAGUGUCAGAUGUAAACAUUUAAAUUUAUUCCAGGGGUGUUAAAAAAAAUUGCAUGAAUUAGCCCUGCAUUUGAUUUUGAAUUGCCGGAAGAAGGGAGAGUAUGAAAAGUCUAAAAUGUUUACAUUAAAUCUGAGAUUCAAUGGUAAAUACACUGGCUAGUUUGCACUAACAAAUUUCAAAUCUUGAUUGUGGAAAGGAUUACACUUACUGAGAUUUUUUUUCCCCAAACCAUGAUAAUUUGCUCUAAAUAAGUGGUAGUGAGAUGGCAAGACAAAGUGAGGGGUAUAUAUCAGCGAUUGCACAACUGAAACAGUCUACUUGUAGAGGGAGAAGUGGGUUAAUUUACCUUGCCCUAAGAACCACCUCCUCACCAAUACUUUGCUCUGCCUCUUGACUGUGCCUUAGCUUUGUAACACUGCACUUGUGGAUAGUUAUUAUUACAUGCUGCCUUGUUCCUCGGAUAGUUCUCUCAAGAGCUGGAUUAAUGGGACUUGGGGGUUUUGGAGUCAUUGCUUGAGAAUUCAAUAAAGAGUUGCCGAUCA